Molecule: long non-coding RNA, 1433 nt
Filed under: Homo sapiens (human)
Lineage: Eukaryota; Metazoa; Chordata; Mammalia; Primates; Hominidae
Description: non-protein coding lnc-CPEB4-4:10
Source: RNAcentral
CUCUGAUUCAGUUUGAGAAAAGAGGACACAAAAGCAUGAAUAACAGGAGGAUGGAUAUAGAAUACCAGCAUCAGCAAGUGUACACGAUUUAAAGCACAUUUGGUAUCUAUUACCAAGCUGCCCUUCAGAGAGGUUGUCUCGUUACACAUUCCACAGCUGUGACUGAGAAACCGUCUUGUCGCAUUUGACAAUCCAGGUUACUAUCUAAAAACUUGAGUUUGUAAGAGCAACACGCCAUGAGAUAAUAUUCGUGCAAAUGUAACUGACAAAAGACUAACAUCCCAUAAUACUAGAGCACCUACAAACCAAGAAGAUAAACAUCCCAUUGGGAAAGUGUAAAAAUAUGAACAUAAAGUUUACAGAAGAAAAAACACAAAUGGCUCAUAAACACACAAAAAGAUGAUAUUGCUUCCUGGUAAUUGGGGAAAUGCAAACAAAAACUACAAUGAAAUAUCGUGGUAUCGUGUAUCAAAUUUGCAGAGCAUAAAAUAGAUUACAUUCGCAACCAGCAACUACAACCCAACCUUCAGCCUCACUGGACUUCUUGCCAUUCCCCAAACCAUAUCCACGCCCCUCUCCACAGGCUGUUCCUUCUGCCUGCAUGCCCUCGAUGGCACCAAGGGGGAUGGGCACACUAACACAACUGCUGGGAAUGGGAAAGUUUCAACCUCUUGGGAAUAAAAUCUAACAGUAUUUAUUGGAAUGUAACCUGUGCAUACUCCACAGCUGGGCCACUACCCUGCAAGAACCCCUCUGGCUGCUGCACAAAGCUCUUCUCUGCAUCCUUUUUUAUACUAGUGGAACCCUGGACACAGCCUGCAUAUGGAUCAAAAGGGCAGUGGUUAUAAAUAUACUAUGGUCCAUCUCUAGGCUAGACUGUGAUGCAGUGGUUAAAGCCAAGUAUUGCAGAAGAGUGAUUAAGCAUUCGUGCUCCAAAGCCAGAUAGCCUAGGUUUCAAUCCCAGCUUUGCCACUUACUUGCUGUGUGAUCUUGUGCAACUCACUUAGCCUUUCUGUGUCACAGUUUCUCCAUCUGUAUAACGGACGAUAACACUAGCCCCUACCUCAUAGGGUCAUUGUGAAGAGUAAAUGAAAUUAAUAUUGCCUAUGUCACAGAGUGAUCCUCCUCAAAAUCUAUUAGAUGAAAAAAGAAAUUUCUAGAAAUUAUCUACAUACAUAUUCUGAUGGGAUUUGUGUAAAGAAUUUAACCAACAAACCCAUAUUACACACACAUACACACACACUCACACAGACACACUCACACACACACACACGCACUCACGUGCGUAGAAGUAGAUCUAGGAAGAUCCAUGACACACAUGCGAGGCAGGUGAAUGGGGACAUUAAAAGGAGGACUUCCACGUUUAAUUCUGAAUGGUCUAUUUUAUUUGUGCAAUUUUUAAAAAUCAAAGCAAUAAAUCACUGUAAAAGAAA